RNAcentral lists this ribosomal RNA (502 nucleotides) under uncultured bacterium. RNAcentral describes it as "bacterial SSU rRNA". It matches the Rfam family "Bacterial small subunit ribosomal RNA", at positions 29 to 524 of the family's 1533-position model. The record is from RNAcentral.
AUUGAACGCUGGCGGCGUGCCUAACACAUGCAAGUCGAUCGGUAACAGGUGUAGCAAUACAUGCUGACGAGAGGCGGACGGGUGAGUAAUGCUUGGGAAUCUGCCUAUUAGUGGGGGACAACCCGGGGAAACUCGGGCUAAUACCGCAUACGCUCUACGGAGGAAAGCCGGGGACCGCAAGGCCUGGCGCUAAUAGAUGAGCCCAAGUCGGAUUAGCUAGUUGGUAGGGAACGGCCUACCAAGGCGACAAUCCGUAGCUGGUCUGAGAGGACGACCAGCCACACCGGAACUGAGACACGGUCCGGACUCCUACGGGAGGCAGCAGUGGGGAAUAUUGGACAAUGGGGCAACCCUGAUCCAGCGACGCCGCGUGGGUGAAGAAGGCCUGCGGGUUGUAAAGCCCCUUUCGGUGGGGAAGAAAAGUCUCGACCUAAUACGUCGGGACCUUGACGUAACCCACUAAAGAAGCACCGGCUAACUCUGUGCCAGCCGCCGCGGUAAU